GCCAGGCAUGGUGGUGGACACCUGUAAUCCCAGAGACUCGGGAGGCUGAGGCAGGAGGAUCAUAAAUUCAAGGUCAGCUCAACAACUUAGUGAGACCCUGUCUUUA
RNAcentral lists this small RNA (106 nucleotides) under Marmota monax (woodchuck). The record is from RNAcentral. Lineage: Eukaryota; Metazoa; Chordata; Mammalia; Rodentia; Sciuridae.